UACGGGGGGGGCAAGCGUUGUUCGGAAUUACUGGGCGUAAAGGGCUCGUAGGCGGCCAACUAAGUCGGACGUGAAAUCCCCAGGCUCAACCUGGGAACUGCGUCCGAUACUGGAUGGCUUGAAUCCGGGAGAGGGAUGCAGAAUUCCAGGUGUAGCGGUGAAAUGCGUAGAUAUUAGGAGGAAUACCAGUUGCGAAGGCGGCUCUCUGGACUGUAACUGACACUGAGGCACGAAAGCGUGGGGAGCAAACAGG
RNAcentral lists this ribosomal RNA (253 nucleotides) under uncultured bacterium. Its description in RNAcentral is "partial 16S ribosomal RNA". It matches the Rfam family "Bacterial small subunit ribosomal RNA", at positions 524 to 776 of the family's 1533-position model. The record is from RNAcentral.